This 253-nucleotide ribosomal RNA is filed under the name uncultured bacterium. Its description in RNAcentral is "partial 16S ribosomal RNA". It matches the Rfam family "Bacterial small subunit ribosomal RNA", at positions 524 to 776 of the family's 1533-position model. The record is from RNAcentral.
UACGAAGGGAGCUAGCGUUGUUCGGAAUUACUGGGCGUAAAGGGCGCGUAGGCGGCCGUUUAAGUUAGAUGUGAAAGCCCCGGGCUUAACCUGGGAAUUGCAUUUAAUACUGAAUGGCUUGAGAUCGAGAGAGGAAAGUGGAAUUGUGAGUGUAGAGGUGAAAUUCGUAGAUAUUCACAAGAACACCAGUGGCGAAGGCGGCUUUCUGGCUCGAUACUGACGCUAAGGCGCGAAAGCGUGGGGAGCAAACAGG